RNAcentral lists this transfer RNA (87 nucleotides) under Actinomyces glycerinitolerans. The record is from RNAcentral. Lineage: Bacteria; Bacillati; Actinomycetota; Actinomycetes; Actinomycetales; Actinomycetaceae.
UCGCCGCCUGGGAGAGGGCCGCCUCCGGCGCCCUGCCGUGGCGCGUGAGCAUCGAGGAGCGCGCCUGGUCCGGCUUCGGUCGGCAGC